AUUGAACGCUGGCGGCAUGCUUUACACAUGCAAGUCGAACGGCAGCGCGGGCUUCGGCCUGGCGGCGAGUGGCGAACGGGUGAGUAAUGCAUCGGAACGUGCCCAGUAGUGGGGGAUAGCCCGGCGAAAGCCGGAUUAAUACCGCAUACGACCUGAGGGUGAAAGCGGGGGACCGAAAGGCCUCGCGCUAUUGGAGCGGCCGAUGUCGGAUUAGCUAGUUGGUGGGGUAAAGGCUUACCAAGGCGACGACCCGUAGCUGGUCUGAGAGGACGUCCAGCCACACUGGGACUGAGACACGGCCCAGACUCCUACGGGAGGCAGCAGUGGGGAAUUUUGGACAAUGGGGGCAACCCUGAUCCAGCCAUGCCGCGUGCGGGAAGAAGGCCUUCGGGUUGUAAACCGCUUUUGUUCGGGAAGAAAUCCUCUGGGCUAAUACCCCGGGGGGAUGACGGUACCGGAAGAAUAAGCACCGGCUAACUACGUG
This 484-nucleotide ribosomal RNA is filed under the name uncultured bacterium. RNAcentral's name for it is "partial 16S ribosomal RNA". It matches the Rfam family "Bacterial small subunit ribosomal RNA", at positions 28 to 507 of the family's 1533-position model. The record is from RNAcentral.